AGCGAACGCUGGCGGCAGGCUUAACACAUGCAAGUCGAGCGGGCCCUUCGGGGUCAGCGGCCGACGGGUGAGUAACACGUUGGAACGUACCCUUUGGUUCGGAAUAACGCUGGGAAACUAGCGCUUAUACCGGAUACGCCCUUUUGGGGAAAGGCUUGCUGCCGCAGGAUCGGCCCGCGUCUGAUUAGCUAGUUGGUGGGGUAAUGGCCUACCAAGGCGACGUUCAGUAGCUGGUCUGAGAGGAUGAUCAGCCACACUGGGACUGAGACACGGCCCAGACUCCUACGGGAGGGAGGAGUGGGGAAUAUUGGACAGUGGGCGAAAGCGUGAUCCAGCCAUGCCGCGUGAGUGAUGAAGGCCUUAGGGUUGUAAAGCUCUUUUGGCCGGGACGAUAAUGACGGUACCGGAAGAAUAAGCCCCGGCUAACUUCGUG
This 433-nucleotide ribosomal RNA is filed under the name uncultured bacterium. Its description in RNAcentral is "partial 16S ribosomal RNA". It matches the Rfam family "Bacterial small subunit ribosomal RNA", at positions 29 to 507 of the family's 1533-position model. The record is from RNAcentral.